CACUUCUUCCCUUCCGCUCUCCUCCCUGAUCUGGAGAGGCACCCGUACGCAGCCGUCGACGCCGCCUCGUCGUUGACAUGCUCCGGCACCACCCCGUCCCGCUCGAAGGCGCCCAGGAGCUGCGCCUCGACGUCCUCUACCUCCAGGACAACACUCACGAGCAGGGAUGUACUGUACGGUCGCCAUCGAGCUCAUCUCCGCGUACAUCGUCGCCGUCCGCCGUCGUUUGCCGCUACUCUGGUCCGUUCCCGGCCACCCCAACCACGUCCCCGAGUCCACUACGCCGAGACCAUUGUCGAACCGGUGAUUGACUACUUCAUGUCGAGGAUUCGUUUCUGUCUGCCGAGCAACCAGGC
RNAcentral lists this ribosomal RNA (356 nucleotides) under Triticum aestivum (bread wheat). RNAcentral's name for it is "partial small subunit ribosomal RNA". Lineage: Eukaryota; Viridiplantae; Streptophyta; Magnoliopsida; Poales; Poaceae. The record is from RNAcentral.